UUAAUGUUUUUAAAAAGCUUGAUUUAUAUUACUUUAUUUUAGAUUUUUGUUUUUGUAGGUAGGAUAUUAGGAAUUUUUAAAAAUUAUCUGGUAUUGUUGUAAUUUCAGCAAGUCUAGUAAACAGAGCAUCAAUCAUAUCCCAGCCUUUUUUUUGAAUAAUUAGUAAAGAAAAAUCAUUAAUAUUUAUUUGUUUUAAUAAAUUUAUCCCCAUUUGUUCAUGUUCAGGAUCAAGAUGCAUAUGUGUUUUAAAAUGUUGUGAUGCUUUAUGAUUA
RNAcentral lists this small RNA (272 nucleotides) under Rickettsia prowazekii. RNAcentral's name for it is "partial sR7 non-coding RNA". Lineage: Bacteria; Pseudomonadati; Pseudomonadota; Alphaproteobacteria; Rickettsiales; Rickettsiaceae. The record is from RNAcentral.